This is a long non-coding RNA of Gasterosteus aculeatus aculeatus (three-spined stickleback), 1416 nucleotides long. NCBI's taxonomy places the organism in Eukaryota, Metazoa, Chordata, Actinopteri, Perciformes, Gasterosteidae. The record is from Ensembl.
ACACACACACACACACACACAGAGACACACACACCUGAGAACGAAGCCGAGCCUCCAAGUCGCCCACCCUGUGCACGCUUGUGAUGACUCACCUGAACAGACGUACCAGAGCGGCCUGGCGGGCGCCUGCACCUGCUGCACCUCCCUGGCGGCGCUCUGGGAGCCAAUGAGAGCGUAGCCCCGGUAGGGCAUGCCUGCAGGGGGGGCUCCUGAAAGCUCAUUCAGCAGAGACAGGAAGCUGUCAUCUGCGGCGUGCUCCUGCCCCUUCUGGAGCAGGGCCUCCACGCCGGCCUCCGUGCGCCCGCAGGCCUGCAGCAGCCUGGGGACCGUCCUGGGGGGCGCGGUCGCGCCCGUCUGCCGCUCAGCCGGACGGAGGAUCACGUGAACGUUUGAGCCUCCAAAGCCAAAGGAGUUGAUGCCCACGAUGCCGCCUCGGACGGGGAGGGGCCGGUCGACGACCUGGACCCGCCCGUCGUGGAGCGCCGGGAUGUCGGGGUUGGGAGAGCUGAAGUGCAGGUUGGGCGCCCAGACGCCGCGCUCCAAAGACAGCAACACCUGAGGACGGGGAACGAGCAGUUAACUGAAGCUCGACGUGAGCCGAGUCCGGCCAAUCAGAGCAGAGCCGGCACUCGCCUUGGCCACAGCAGCCAGGCCGGAGGCCGGUUCGGGGUGGCCCAUGUUGGACUUGGUGGAGCCCAUGAGUAGAGGCUCCCGCUCCGAUUCACAGAAGACACUGACGAUGCCGUUGACUUCCUGUGGGUCGCCCACCUGCGCGCAGAGAGCAGAGGAGCCCAAAGGUCAGAGGUCAGUGACGCAGGGAGCCGCGCGGAGAGCCGGCCGAGAGCACUGACCUUGGUUCCUGUGCCGUGGGCCUCCACAUAUUCCACCUGCUCUGGAGAGAUGUUGGCCUCCUGGUACAGAGCGCGAACCAGCCUCUGCUGCAUCGCGCCUGAAGGGAACGUGACACCUGAGGGACGGAGAGCGCCGCGUCAGGACGGGGCUGCUGCUCUGCUCGCGUGGGACGCCAUGAGCCAUGAGCGCUGCACAUCGUGUACCAACGGGGAGAAGAGAAGCGGGGGACGCGUCCUCACCCUGCUCCUUGUAUCCGUCCGUGUUGUUGCCCGCGUUGACCACGGUGGCGUAGACGCGCUUGGCUGCCGCCCGCUUGGUGAGCAGCACCGCCACUGCAGCCUCCGAGCGGCAGUACCCGUCUCCUGGGGGCCACGAGGGGUGCGUCACACCACGAGGGGGGCUGAUGCGUCAAAGGACCUGCAGGUCCCCCCAGGACUGAGCAUGCCCAGCUUCAUGAACUGCACGGAGGUGUUGGGCUUGAGCAGCAGGUUGACCCCCCCCACCAGAGCGGCAUCACAGUGGCCCUGGCGAAUGGCGUGGAAGGCGUUUUCUAAAGCCAGCAGG